CUACGUAGGUGACAAGCGUUAUCCGGAUUUACUGGGCGUAAAGGGCGUGUAGGCGGUCUUGCAAGUCAGAAGUGAAAUUCCUGAGCUCAACUCGGGCGCUGCUUCUGAAACUGCAGGACUUGAGUGCUGGAGGGGAUAGCGGAAUUCCUAGUGGAGCGGUAAAAUGCGCAGAUAUUAGGAAGAACACCGGUGGCGAAGGCGGCUAUCUGGACAGUAACUGACGCUGAGGCGCGAAAGCGUGGGGAGCAAACAGGAUUAGAGACCCUGGUAGUCCACGCCGGAAACGAUGAAUACUAGGUGUAGGGGGUAUCGACUCCCUCUGUGCCGCAGUUAACACAAUAAGUAUUCCGCCUGGGGAGUACGGCCGCAAGGUUGAAACUCAAAGGAAUUGACGGG
RNAcentral lists this ribosomal RNA (396 nucleotides) under uncultured bacterium. RNAcentral describes it as "partial 16S ribosomal RNA". It matches the Rfam family "Bacterial small subunit ribosomal RNA", at positions 523 to 917 of the family's 1533-position model. The record is from RNAcentral.